RNAcentral lists this microRNA precursor (85 nucleotides) under Marmota monax (woodchuck). Lineage: Eukaryota; Metazoa; Chordata; Mammalia; Rodentia; Sciuridae. RNAcentral also lists the same sequence under 1 other name. The record is from RNAcentral.
GCGUGCUGCGGGGCGACCAUGGCUGUAGACUGUUACCUCCGGUUCCCACAGUAACAAUCGAAAGCCACGGUUGCCCUGGAGACGC